Molecule: microRNA precursor, 65 nt
Filed under: Gallus gallus (chicken)
Lineage: Eukaryota; Metazoa; Chordata; Aves; Galliformes; Phasianidae
Description: Gga-Mir-96-P2_pre stem-loop
Rfam family: mir-182 microRNA precursor family
Source: RNAcentral
UUUGGCAAUGGUAGAACUCACACUGGUGCGCUCGCAGGAUCCGGUGGUUCUAGACUUGCCAACUA